CCUACGGGAGGCUGCAGUGGGGAAUAUUGCACAAUGGGCGCAAGCCUGAUGCAGCCAUGCCGCGUGUGUGAAGAAGGCCUUCGGGUUGUAAAGCACUUUCAGCGGGGAGGAAGGCGUUAAGGUUAAUAACCUUGUCGAUUGACGUUACCCGCAGAAGAAGCACCGGCUAACUCCGUGCCAGCAGCCGCGGUAAUACGGAGGGUGCAAGCGUUAAUCGGAAUUACUGGGCGUAAAGCGCACGCAGGCGGUCUGUCAAGUCGGAUGUGAAAUCCCCGGGCUCAACCUGGGAACUGCAUUCGAAACUGGCAGGCUAGAGUCUUGUAGAGGGGGGUAGAAUUCCAGGUGUAGCGGUGAAAUGCGUAGAGAUCUGGAGGAAUACCGGUGGCGAAGGCGGCCCCCUGGACAAAGACUGACGCUCAGGUGCGAAAGCGUGGGGAGCAAACAGGAUUAAUACCCUUGUAGUC
This 464-nucleotide ribosomal RNA is filed under the name uncultured Klebsiella sp. RNAcentral's name for it is "bacterial SSU rRNA". It matches the Rfam family "Bacterial small subunit ribosomal RNA", at positions 338 to 795 of the family's 1533-position model. The record is from RNAcentral. Lineage: Bacteria; Pseudomonadati; Pseudomonadota; Gammaproteobacteria; Enterobacterales; Enterobacteriaceae.